Molecule: ribosomal RNA, 473 nt
Filed under: Escherichia coli
Lineage: Bacteria; Pseudomonadati; Pseudomonadota; Gammaproteobacteria; Enterobacterales; Enterobacteriaceae
Also listed under: 2 other names
Description: bacterial SSU rRNA
Rfam family: Bacterial small subunit ribosomal RNA
Source: RNAcentral
AAAUUGAAGAGUUUGAUCAUGGCUCAGAUUGAACGCUGGCGGCAGGCCUAACACAUGCAAGUCGAACGGUAACAGGAAGCAGCUUGCUGUUUCGCUGACGAGUGGCGGACGGGUGAGUAAUGUCUGGGAAACUGCCUGAUGGAGGGGGAUAACUACUGGAAACGGUAGCUAAUACCGCAUAACGUCGCAAGACCAAAGAGGGGGACCUUCGGGCCUCUUGCCAUCGGAUGUGCCCAGAUGGGAUUAGCUAGUAGGUGGGGUAACGGCUCACCUAGGCGACGAUCCCUAGCUGGUCUGAGAGGAUGACCAGCCACACUGGAACUGAGACACGGUCCAGACUCCUACGGGAGGCAGCAGUGGGGAAUAUUGCACAAUGGGCGCAAGCCUGAUGCAGCCAUGCCGCGUGUAUGAAGAAGGCCUUCGGGUUGUAAAGUACUUUCAGCGGGGAGGAAGGGAGUAAAGUUAAUACCUUU